AGCGGGGUAGAGCAUUGGUAGCUCGUCAGGCUCAUAACCUGGAGGCAGGAGGUUCGAUUCCUUCCCCCGCGACCA
This 75-nucleotide transfer RNA is filed under the name Lentisphaeria bacterium. RNAcentral's name for it is "tRNA-Met". It matches the Rfam family "tRNA". From Rfam's summary of the family: Transfer RNA (tRNA) molecules are approximately 80 nucleotides in length. Lineage: Bacteria; Pseudomonadati; Lentisphaerota; Lentisphaeria. The record is from RNAcentral.